Alligator mississippiensis (American alligator) is the source of this 715-nucleotide long non-coding RNA. RefSeq lists it as uncharacterized. NCBI's taxonomy places the organism in Eukaryota, Metazoa, Chordata, Crocodylia, Alligatoridae. The transcript has 2 exons. The record is from RefSeq and is a predicted model, not a curated record.
CAGUACAAACAAUGGACAGGAGCACACUUCUCUGAACUGCAGUUUCUUUCCUCUCUCUGAAGCAGAAGCCAUACACCUAAUGUGAGAGCACAGUUUCAAAGCAAACUUAAACUAAGUAUUUUUAAUAUAUUUUUUCCUGCAGCAACUUCAGCUUCUACAGCAAGAGCAGCUUCAGCCCCCUCCUUUCAGAAGAAAAGUGAUAUGGUAACUAGAGCUGAAGCAAAGUGCUUCACGACAGUUUAAGUGCUGCCUGCCUCAACAUCCUCAGCUUUACAAGUGUCAGAAGGGAAACAUCAAAACUGAGAAAUGGGCUAACCAAUCUGUGCUGCUUUAUCAUCAACACAGGGGACAGCAACUUCCCUUCUAAGCUGUACAAUAAAACUUGAACAGAGAAUCUGAAGCAACCGUUGGAACUAAUUCUCCAUUUAAAUGCUAUCAAGCAAAGUCAGAAUCACUCAUAUCUGGAAGCAAAUACUGGAGUAUUUUCUGCAUUAGAGAAAGGCUUCAAAGUAUGUGAAUUCUGGGCACAGCUCAGCAUCACUAGCAAACAUGCUGCAAAAGAACAACAGCUAUGGAGUCCAUGGACAGUGAGAGCUACUUAAGCAUACUAGGUAUCACAUACCUGCCUGUGUCUUCUCCACCUGGCAUUCUCUAGCCAUAGCCUGAGAGAUUUGCGUAGCAAAAUUAUUCUGAAAUAAAACAUAAUAAAAAGUCA